Molecule: ribosomal RNA, 492 nt
Filed under: uncultured bacterium
Lineage: Bacteria
Description: partial 16S ribosomal RNA
Rfam family: Bacterial small subunit ribosomal RNA
Source: RNAcentral
AGUGAACGCUGGCGGUAGGCCUAACACAUGCAAGUCGAACGGCAGCACAGUAAGAGCUUGCUCUUACGGGUGGCGAGUGGCGGACGGGUGAGGAAUACAUCGGAAUCUACUUUUUCGUGGGGGAUAACGUAGGGAAACUUACGCUAAUACCGCAUACGACCUACGGGUGAAAGCAGGGGAUCUUCGGACCUUGCGCGAUUGAAUGAGCCGAUGUCGGAUUAGCUAGUUGGCGGGGUAAAGGCCCAGCAAGGCGACGAUCCGUAGCUGGUCUGAGAGGAUGAUCGGCCACACUGGAACUGGGACACCGUCCAGACUCCUACGGUAGGCAGCAGUGGGGAAUAUUGGACAAUGGGCGCAAGCCUGAUCCAGCCAUACCGCGUGGGUGAAGAAGGCCUUCGGGUUGUAAAGCCCUUUUGUUGGGAAAGAAAAGCAGCAGGUUAAUACCCCGCUGUUCUGACGGUACCCAAAGAAUAAGCACCGGCUAACUUCGUG